This 119-nucleotide ribosomal RNA is filed under the name Triticum dicoccoides. The record is from RNAcentral. Lineage: Eukaryota; Viridiplantae; Streptophyta; Magnoliopsida; Poales; Poaceae.
GGAUGCGAUCAUACCAGCACUAAAGCACCAGAUCUCAUCAGAACUCCGAAGUUAAGCGUGCUUGGGCGAGAGUAGUACUUGGAUGGGUGAUCUCCUGGGAAGUCCUCGUGUUGCAUUCC